UACGUAGGGGGCAAGCGUUGUCCGGAAUCAUUGGGCGUAAAGAGCGUGUAGGCGGCCAGAUAAGUCCGCUGUGAAAUCUCGAGGCUCAACUUCGAGCUGUCGGUGGAAACUGUCUGGCUAGAGUCCGGAAGAGGAGAAUGGAAUUCCUGGUGUAGCGGUGAAAUGCGCAGAUAUCAGGAAGAACACCCGUGGCGAAGGCGGUUCUCUGGGACGGUACUGACGCUGAGACGCGAAAGCAUGGGGAGCGAACAGG
RNAcentral lists this ribosomal RNA (253 nucleotides) under uncultured bacterium. Its description in RNAcentral is "partial 16S ribosomal RNA". It matches the Rfam family "Bacterial small subunit ribosomal RNA", at positions 524 to 776 of the family's 1533-position model. The record is from RNAcentral.